RNAcentral lists this long non-coding RNA (7264 nucleotides) under Xyrichtys novacula (pearly razorfish). Lineage: Eukaryota; Metazoa; Chordata; Actinopteri; Labriformes; Labridae. The record is from RNAcentral.
UUGCCACUGACAUUCGCAUCGCAUUGCAACGCGAGUGAAACAACAUAGAGUGACUGAUACAUGUCUUUCAUUCACUGUGAGCAAAUCACGAGACUCCGCCCAUCCGCUUGCUUGCUUGCAGGCUGUGCGUUGAUUACCUCGUCAAAACGUCAAAGUUGGCAUUCUAGUUUAACUGGUUUAGGUUGCCUCCUUUUCCUGCGCCCUCUCUGACCCAUCUUCACCCAUGCUUGUACUUUUGUACUGUGUCAAAGCUGUUGUCACUGAUGCCUGCUCAGUUCCAAAACCCGAGUGGUCUUUGCUGCUGCUCUUCCUGACUUGACUUUUCACAAAUACACGUAAAAGAGAGGGAGGAUGUGCUCUCCCCGCCUCAGGCUCUGGCAUCCCAUUUGUGCAUUUGGAAGGCAGGCAGCGAGCCAUACCGCCAAAUGUAAUUUACUGCAUGCAAAUAAAUAAUCCUCUUUGACAGUAGUCCUGAAUAAAUGUAAAUAUACAGACAGGCCAAGACAGGAUAUUGGCUUACAUGUUUUGGAUUAUGUCACCCCAGCCCAAGAUGCCCAGGAGGGUCAGUUACCCUAUGUGACACCAGGUCAAUGACUCAUUAGAUUAAAACAUCCAAUGGCGUGCUUAAAACGAACCGAGACUUCUACUGCUGUACUUAUUUUUGUAAUAUCUAUUGUCUUGCUUUUGAAAGGGACCUUGAUGAAAUCCAUGUGUCAUUUUCCUUGUAAACAAUUUUCAAACUUCGAUCAAACUGAUAAGAGAUUGAAAAACAUACCAGCCUGCACAGGGCAGUCAAGGCAACUGCAAUAAUGUGGUAAUUGACAAACGUGACACAAGUUUAAUCAUUUCGGCCAAAACCUUGAACCCUUAAUGAAAUUCUUUGGUAGAGUAAGUCCAGAGCCAGACUUGGAUCGUGACUUUGGAGCUUGAUGUUAAUCAACUAAGGGUUCCCGAGAAGGCUUUAGGUCAGGAUUUAAGUCAAAUCCCAUGCUGGGACCCCAGGAAAUAUAGGUGUCAGUAACUGGAAAACUGAAGUGAUAGGUGACAGUGACCUGGGAAUGGCAUUAGCGUUGAUCUCAACGAACCAAAAAGGCGGAGGAGGCACAACAUGUUUCUGAUUUUGUGGCUCAUUUUGAAUCUAAAUAUUUCAUUAUAAAUAAUAAGAAAGCAUUUGCUUGUUUUUGAGUUGUUUUGCAGUAUGGGGAAGAGAAAUUGUCUAAAAGAUAUAAAUGCAUCAAUACAACACUUCCACCCUAACUUAACCCUGUUGCCCUUACCCAAGACACUCGGCAAAGAAAUAAUCAGUCCUCUUCUUUUCAGACGAAGACCUCAAAUGACUUUUGGGCAACAACUCAGGUCUCAGGUCCUCCCAGUUUACUGAAUUGAGAGUCACUACACAGAUAUACAGUACAGGCCAAAAGUUUGGACACACCUUCUCAUUCAAUGUCUUUUCUUUUUUUUUAUAUGACUAUUUACAUUGUAGAUUAUUACUGAAGGCAUUAAAACUAUGAAUGAACACAUGUAGAAUUUUGGACUUAUAAAAAAGUGUGAAAUAACCGAAAACAUGUUUUAUAUUCUAGUUUCUUUAAAAUAGCCACUCUUUCCUCUUGAUGACAGAAUUACCUUGUCAGGGUUACUUCAGGCACUCCUGUGAAGUAAAAACCAUUUCAGGUGACUACCUCAUGAAGCUCAUUGAGAGAACAGCUAAAGUUUGCAGCGCUAUCAAAAAAGCAAAGGGUGGCUACUUUGAGAAAUCUAAAAUAUAAAACAUGUUUUCAGUUAUUUCACACUUUUUUCUUAAGCACAUGAUUCCACAUGUGUUCAUUCAUAGUUUUGAGAAUCUACAAUUUAAAUAGUAAUGAAAACAAAGAAAAUGCAUUGAGUGAAAAGGUGUGUCCAAACUUUUGGCCUGUACUAUAGAUCAUUGUAACGCUCCUGUGCUCUAACUUCAUGCUAAAUCAAGGAUUUUCCUUUACUCAACUCUCUCCGACCCAAAAUGAAACCACAAGGCUCUUACUGCUCUCAUUGAGGUAGAUCAGAAGAAGCAGCACCAGUUCUUUGACAUCUUUGGGGCAGUUGUUCAGCUCUCCCCUUGCCAUUUUCAGCUUUGUUGGUGACUGUAGGAACUUUUUGUUCCUACAAAAAGUAGGAACAUCACACAAACAGUAUUGAUGUAAUUCAGAAGCUGUUUUCCCUUCAGAUCAACAUUUCUUGAGAAACUUCCUAUGAGACUGAUUCUGGUAAGUUAAUGAAAGUAGACUGUCGUCCUAAGUUCAUGGAACCAAAAUGGCCACUCCACCUGGAGGCAUUUCAGAUUUUUUCCCUGGUUGACUUGUUUACACUGUGUGUAGAAAGUUAACCUCAUUAGACAGACAUUUCACUUCCUGCCGAUUUACAUGACAUUGAUGUGACAUCCUCUUCAGCUGCUCCUUCUCCUCCUGAAUCUUGAAGGUCUCUCCAAGGGGCACCCAUAUGUGUCCUGGAUCUCUGCUCUGUGUUCUGGAGGAAGCUCUUCAAUAUCAGAGUCUUCAGAGUGACACUUUCGUAGUCUUAUCAUUGGAGUUGUAGAGCGACUGGCAUUCUCAAUCCUGUUUUGCAUUUGCUUGGCUAUAGGGAAUGAUACACUUGUUCAAUGACAUCCCCAUCUUGCAGAGAUUUGGGAUAUUUUGCCACUAUCUUCUGAGCAACAAAAUACGAAUGUUUCUGCAUUAUCUCAUGGACCACAAGUCAGCCUGAACAGCCGUCCUUGCGCCCUGCACCUCACUUACUGCCAAACGUGUGUGCCACUGAAGUAGCAAAAUGCAGUCAGACAUGCCCUAAUUUACUUUGCUCAUGUGUCUAUAAUUUACAAGGCAGUUAAUGACAAACGCAUUUGAUAAAAUUUUUAAUAUGCAUUAUAAAUCAUAAUAACCCAGUCAUCAAUCAGUGAAACUACUGGGAAGUCAACAGAUACAGGUUAGACUAGUUUCAUCAGCAAGGAGCCGCUUGGACUUACCGGCAUCAUCACCUAUUGGUGGAAAGACAUUAGCUGUUCCUCCUCCUUCUCCUCAGGUGAUGAGGUUCAAAGACUCCAACAUACCCUUCAGCUCUAACUGGUGUACCUUGGAAGCCAUCCAGACUGGAUAGUACCUCAACAGUUGUGUUGAACAGAGCUUGGCGGAAAUGGCACAGUACAUCUCUGGGGUUGAACUGCGGUUCGUGGAGGACCUCUUCACCUCCUCUUGGUGGGAUUGAACCAAGUCCAAUGGGAUCAUCCAUCAUUAGUCAGAUGGUACGUCAGCAUUCGUUCUCACACCACCAGACCCAGGAAGAGCUUCAUCCUGAGGACCAUGAGACAGUUGAACUUGUAGACACUCAAGCUCAUUACCAUUCAACUUCACUUGGACUUCACUAGCAUUUAUCUCAGUAUCACUGUAUAGUGCAUAAAUACUAAACCCCCUUCAGUUAUAUGUUUUCAUUUAGCUGGUUAAGAUUUAAAAGUUAUAUAAAAAAAAACAGUAAGGGAUAUUAAAUGGUUAACAGACUCCCAAAAAUGUGUUUGUCUUCCUUGUAUUGCUACUUUUGUUGUAGUUAUGUUUUGUUUUGGAAUUUUAUAGCCCAAUCAUUGUGCAUAUUACUUCAAAAAAACUUUGAGAUAGAGACUUUGUUAGUUUCAAUAAGUAGUAAAAUAUGUCUAGGGCUCAUAUGUUGGGCAUUUCUGUUGAUUUCUAGUGUUUUCAGCUUAAACUGUUUUUCUUAUUUUGCUACAGUCUUUUAGUUUUUUAAAUGGUGCAACCAAUUGCUUUCCAGGAUUAACUCACCUUAAACAAAUCAACAGAGGCAUCUAGCCAAUCUCUAAGCAACUUCUGAACUACUAACAUCGUUACUCUGCAGACAGAUUGCGCUCACUCACACACAUACACAGACAUGUACCGAGAUGCCGUUUGGUUUUGCCAUCUGCAAACACUGGACAGAAAUAAAAAUAGAAAGUAGUGACCCCAGACAGCAUCACUUCUAACUUUGGGUUACUCAACAAAAGCGGCAAUAAAGUUAAUGGCUCUGAUGAAAGACGUGACUUUUCCGAGAACAGGGCUCAGAAGCUGUUUACACCUGGAUUUAUCUCAUCUGGUUAUCCAAUCCCAAUCAGACAGCCUUAAAAUGGAAGUUGGCAUUAGAAUGUGUCUCUAAUGACACUUCUGAUCAUAUCACUGUCCUGUUCCAUGUGAAUAACUGUAAACCAGCAUCAUUUUGUACAAAAAAAAAAACCUGGAUGAAAAAUAUAAUUACUCAGGUGAUUUGCAGUCGACACAUACGUAGGAGUGGUAGCUGAAUGAGCUGCACAUCUGCCACAGAUGCAGCAGUAGACUCAACAGUUGGUUUGGGCAACAUGUCUUCCCUCAACAUACCUUGCGAACAAGGUCAUUUGGUCCUCCCAGGCAUACAAAUUAAGAAGCUGGUAGUGAUUUGAAAUCAGACUCUGGAUGUUUUGAUGGAGUGGCUCCUUCUUGGUCUGCUGAGCUAACAUGAGCUGUACCUUGGCCACAGGCGUUUCCAGUGCUGGGCUCUCAGGCAACUAGCUUAGUAGAAGCAUGUUGUUUGGUUAGGUACUUUGUGAGAUUAGAAUUACUGUUCUUGGCUAUGGACAAAGUUUCCCUUGUUGUACAUGCGCUACAACUCACCUCUAUUUUCUUGUCUUGAACCUCAAGAAGAAGAGGGGGGGUCUGGUAUUUCUAAGCUCAUGUCUAAAUGACCAAUGGCCACUGUGUAUGUCAACUGCGCGAUACAUUAAUUUCCCCAGUAUGGCGUUAUGCUGUUGUAGGCGUUACCUUGCCAUCUCGCUGUACAAUCAGUCUUCUGAAGUUGUCAACUACUUGAUGUAAGGUUACAAGUAACAAGCCCUUUCAAAUUUCUGUAACUGUAACAGCAUUAUUGAAUUUAAAAGUGAACUACAUACAUGUACCGAAAAUAAUAUUGGAAUGCAAGGUAUAGGUACAUUAAGAAAAAAAAGCAUACUCAUGUUCAUCGUAUUACGUCGACUGUGCUUUGAGAUCUGAAGAUUUGUAACCUUACAGUAAUGUUGGCAGUAAAACUGCUUUUAUUACUGUGAUGACUUACUUUUGCAUUAACCCUUGCUUCACGUGUGCCAAACUGUAGGGGAUGAUCCGUACGGAUAACCAAUUGACUUUAAUCUGUUACAACACCAGUCAGGAUAUAGACGUCUUAUGCCUCUGACAUCUGUUUCUGUCUCCGUCUUUCUCUCUGUUUACCUGUCUGUGGGCCUGAUCUACUGAAGGUUAGCGUGUAUAAAAACACGUGCAAACUUGACAGUGCUCACAAAGCUGAUCUACUAACUGGGUGCACCGAGGAUUGCAUCUGUCAAAUGAUCAAAAUACCGCACAGAAUCCAUUUAGCGUGUUUGCCUUCAUGAAGAUGCCGGAUGAAUGCAGAUUAUCAGAAUUUGCAAAGUAACGUUGGAAAGGCAGGUGCAAAGUGGUAUAGUGUUACGCACAAAUGGCUGCAGUCAUUGUGGUGAGAAGGAGGCAUGGGUGCAAUGACAAAACUCAUUGCAACACUAAAUUUUCUUGCAUCUGAUUCAUUCCAGUGCACCAUCACAGUUAGUACCAGCCUCUCCCAGAGUAGUUUUUCUGGUGUGCUGUCCCAAGUGUUGAAUGCCAUAUCACACAGGAUGGGAAAGUAAAUCCAGUUCCCACACACUUGGGACGCAGUAAAUGACAUCAAACAUGGCUUUUAUGCAGUUGCUGGCUUCCCCAAAAUGAUAGGUGCAACUCCAUGGCUUCAAAUUUCAUUUUGCAUGAAUGGCCACUCUGCUCUCCCAAACUCUCCAAGGUGACAGCCAGUAGCGCAACUAAAAUCCGCAUUUAAAAAGGGCGGUCUGCACCGCUUUUGCACUCAUUAAUUGCGCAUGCAACCAUAGUAGAUCAACCGCAACAUGCCAACUAAUAGCAUGUGCAAUUUUUUAGUUUGCACACCUGUUUUAGUGCUUGUUAUUUGGAAUCUUGGUAAAUCAGCCCCUGUAUAUCUCUCUAUUUGCUGUAGGGCUACAUUCUUGAUUUUACAGGGAUACCUCCUCUUAAAAAUGUGUGUUCAUUUGGAUAUAAAGCUGGGAACUGGAAUGCAGUAACUUGAGAUGUAUUUAAGAUACAUUAUAGCGUGGAUCAAACAUAAAAAAAGCUUGAAAUUUUCUGACAUCAUUAAGAUGGGGUGGACUUCUGAAUAUAAAUGGCCAAUCUUUCCCUCCUACUUUCGCCAGGGUUUUCCAGCCAGCUCCUUAGUAAAAUUAUGGCUCUAAAGUUGGGAUGUGUUUGAAUGCAGCAGGGAAAUCUCUGUUAAAUUCAUGGUUGGGUAAUAAAGUCAUUCAGGCUAGACAGAGUUUCACUGCUCUCUUAAAAUUCACCUCAGUUUAAAGUAUUUUGUUCCCCACUGGUGUUUGCCUUCUGAAAAUGUCCUUUAACAUGUUGUGAUUAUAUUACCAAAAUUAAAGACGCCACAACAAAAGGCUUCUCCUCAAUUUGCUCGCUAUUGGGCUACCCCUUUCGCUCUGAAGCAGUGAGAGUACCUGCAGAAAUGUAUUCCUGCUGAAAGGUGAAUGUGUCACAGGUGAAUUGGUGAAAAUAUCUAGGAAACAGAAUGAAUACACAGAGAGACUGAGAGAGAGAAAGUGAGAGACAGGUUUAAAAGACAGUUCAGUAUGGAUUCUGGGCAACAAACCAGCAUCACAGAUGUGUCAAAUUGCAUCUUUGUAAGGUCACUGCAUGAAAAGGACAGGUGAGCGCUUCAAAGUUACACACAGUUGGUAGAUACAUGAAAGUGUGAUCCUUGAAACAGGUGGUGUCUCUGUGAGUAUAUAUGUCAAUCCCAUUCUUAGCCUCUCUCUCACACACGAGCACACUCAAGUAUCGGCAUAGGGAGCAGCAGAUGCUGCUGCUGUGGAGCAAUGGUCGAGUUUGGUAGUUAAGUGUUUUUACUCACCCUCAAGGAUGGAUGAAUAUACCUUUUAAGUCUUUUGCAGACUGUGUCAUGCUCUGCUGCCCACAACGUAUGAUAGCAGCAGAGGUUUUAACAGAUUUAUUUCCAGCCCUACCAUACUUUCAUUCUUAAGAUGAUGCUGAGGCAAGGCUGUAUUGGCAACAUUGCUCAGUUUAACCAGGAUAAGAUGCUGGAAAAGAUAAUACAAGUUUUUAACAGUUGUUCCUCUGUGACAUGUAGUGACUAUUAUAAUGCCCUCUUGUCCUCUCAGGCAGGCUACCCUCCACCACUGACAGAU